Molecule: ribosomal RNA, 462 nt
Filed under: uncultured bacterium
Lineage: Bacteria
Description: partial 16S ribosomal RNA
Rfam family: Bacterial small subunit ribosomal RNA
Source: RNAcentral
GACGAACGCUGGCGGCGUGCUUAACACAUGCAAGUCGAACGGAAAGGCCCUUCGGGGUACUCGAGUGGCGAACGGGUGAGUAACACGUGGGUGAUCUGCCCUGCACUUUGGGAUAAGCCUGGGAAACUGGGUCUAAUACCGAAUAGGACCACGCGCUUCAUGGUGUGUGGUGGAAAGCUUUUGCGGUGUGGGAUGGGCCCGCGGCCUAUCAGCUUGUUGGUGGGGUAAUGGCCUACCAAGGCGACGACGGGUAGCCGGCCUGAGAGGGUGACCGGCCACACUGGGACUGAGAUACGGCCCAGACUCCUACGGGAGGCAGCAGUGGGGAAUAUUGCACAAUGGGCGCAAGCCUGAUGCAGCGACGCCGCGUGAGGGAUGACGGCCUUCGGGUUGUAAACCUCUUUCACCAGGGACGAAGCGUAAGUGACGGUACCUGGAGAAGAAGUACCGGCCAACUACGUG